AGCAGGCUGAAGUGGAGGUAAAACUCCAUGGAGGGCCGAACCCACUCCCGUUGAAAUGGUAGGGGAUGACUUGUGGCUAGCGGAGAAAUUCCAAUCGAACCCGGAGAUAGCUGGUUCUCUCCGAAAUAGCUUUAGGGCUAGCCUCAAUUAACAUUACCGCAGGUAAAGCACUGAAUGAGCUAGGGGGCGAAAGCUUACUGAACUCUAUCAAACUCAGAAUGGCGGAUAAUGAAUGAUUGGGAGUCACACUACGUGAGAUAAGUUUCGUGGUGGAAAGGGAAACAGCCCAGACCCACAGCUAAGGUCCCAAAGUACAGUUAAGUGGAAAAGGAUGUGAAAUUGCGCAGACAACCAGGAUGUUGGCUCAGAAGCAGCCACUCAUUCAAAGAGUGCGUAAUAGCUCACUGGUCGAGUGAUUUUGCGCCGAAAAUUUAACGGGGCUAAACUGUACACCGAAGCUUGGGAAUAUACAUUUGUAUGUUGGUAGGAGAGCGUUGUGUAAGGGGUGAAGUCGUAGCGAAAGCGGCGGUGGACUUUACACAAGUGAGAAUGCCGGAAUGAGUAGCGAGAAUUAUGUGAGAAUCAUAAUGGCCGAAAGACUAAGGUUUUAGAAGGAAGGUUCGUCCGCUUCUAGUUAGCCGGGAGCUAAGGCGAGGCCGAGAGGCGUAGUCGAUGCACAUACGGUUGAGAUUCCGUAGCUACCUUGCAUUUAAGCGAAGGGACACAUUUGAAGGGCAUGACCCGGGCGUUGGUUGACCCGGGCGUAAGGGACCGAAAAUAAGUAGGGAAGCAUGCUUGGAUGGUGGCGAGAAAAGCUUCGUGUAUAUAAGCAGGGUACCCGUACUGCAAACCGACACAGGUAGUCAGGAAGAGGAUUCUAAGGCCAUCGGGAGAAGCGUUGUUAAGGAACUCGGCAAAUUGACCCCGUAACUUCGGAAUAAGGGGUGCUCACGCGAGUGAGCCGCAGUGAAUAGGUCCAGGCAACUGUUUAUCAAAAACACAGCUCUCUGCUAAAUCGUAAGAUGACGUAUAGGGGGUGACACCUGCCCGGUGCUGGAAGGUUAAGAGGAGGGGUGCAAGCUCCGAAUUGAAGCCCCAGUAAACGGCGGCCGUAACUAUAACGGUCCUAAGGUAGCGAAAUUCCUUGUCGGGUAAGUUCCGACCCGCACGAAUGGUGUAAUGAUCUGGACACUGUCUCAACAACGCACCCGGCGAAAUUGUAGUACCGGUGAAGAUGCCGGUUACCCGCGGCAAGACGGAAAGACCCCAUGGAGCUUCACUGUAGCCUGAUAUUGGGUCUCGGUAUUUUAUGUACAGGAUAGGCGGGAGACUUGGAAACCAGCACGCCAGUGUUGGCGGAGUCACCCUUGGGAUACCGCUCUUAAAGUAUUGAGAUUCUAACCUGCAGCCAUGAAUCUGGCUGGGGGACAUUGUCAGGUGGGCAGUUUGACUGGGGCGGUCGCCU
RNAcentral lists this ribosomal RNA (1465 nucleotides) under human gut metagenome. Its description in RNAcentral is "bacterial LSU rRNA". It matches the Rfam family "Bacterial large subunit ribosomal RNA", at positions 739 to 2288 of the family's 2925-position model. The record is from RNAcentral.